This 621-nucleotide long non-coding RNA is filed under the name Homo sapiens (human). Its description in RNAcentral is "non-protein coding lnc-CD58-7:3". The record is from RNAcentral. Lineage: Eukaryota; Metazoa; Chordata; Mammalia; Primates; Hominidae.
UUUGUGAGGAUAUCAAUAAACAGAAGGAGAAUUGCUGCAUUUGAGGAAAUGUGCAUUUCUGGGGCAUAGAGGCAGUUAAGUAACUUUUCCAGGACCUCAUAGCUGGUGAGGGGCAGAGACAAAAAUCAAAACCCUGAGGAGCUAUUUGCAAGGUAGUCUGGGAACAGUAGCAAAGGCACAGAGCUAGGACAGGGACCAAGGGGUUCUGGCAAGCCCAGCUUUCAACAGCAACAUGGAGCAGAUGACAGUGGAGGAAGGGCCUGAGGCUUUACCUGAAAGGAAGCCCAGGAAAGGUCUAAGUGAUAAAGGAAUCUUUAUGGAUGGGGUCCAUAGUACAGAAUGUGAAUUUCUUCCACAAAAGACAGCUUUGCAGGACCAUUUCAAAGUAAUGUCAAAGAAAUAUAUUUUGGGAUACAAUAUUUUGAUUUCUUUCAAGUCCUGCUAUCUGCCAUGUGAUGCUACACUAGAGUCAGGUUGGAAUUUGGUAUCUUAUUGCUACAAAGAGUCUGUGUUGUCAGUCUUAAGAUCUCUCUUUUAAUGUUACUGCUGGUCAGUUGUGCUUGAACUCCAAAGGGAGGAGAGUUCAAUGAGGCAUGUCUGACACUCCCUUCCCAUCAUGGU